UACGGGGGGAACAAGCGUUGUUCGGAUUUACUGGGCGUAAAGGGCGCGUAGGCGGUCAGCACAAGUCAGUUGUGAAAUCUCCGGGCUUAACUCGGAAAGGUCAACUGAUACUGUGCGACUAGAGUGCAGAAGGGGCAACUGGAAUUCUCGGUGUAGCGGUGAAAUGCGUAGAUAUCGAGAGGAACACCUGCGGCGAAGGCGGGUUGCUGGGCUGACACUGACGCUGAUGCGCGAAAGCCAGGGGAGCGAACGGG
RNAcentral lists this ribosomal RNA (254 nucleotides) under uncultured bacterium. Its description in RNAcentral is "partial 16S ribosomal RNA". It matches the Rfam family "Bacterial small subunit ribosomal RNA", at positions 524 to 776 of the family's 1533-position model. The record is from RNAcentral.